Long non-coding RNA from Physeter macrocephalus (sperm whale), 5517 nucleotides. RefSeq lists it as uncharacterized. The transcript has 4 exons. NCBI's taxonomy places the organism in Eukaryota, Metazoa, Chordata, Mammalia, Artiodactyla, Physeteridae. The record is from RefSeq and is a predicted model, not a curated record.
CCAUCAGGGUCACGCUCCGAGGCAAGGGGAGGUGAAACGAGAGGGAAGAUGGCUUCUCUCUGAAGGGUAGACGGGCCUGCUGGGAUGCUCAGGGAGGACUUGGGACAGGCGCUGGGCGGGGUUUCGCCGUUCCGCGGAACGCCGGGAAGGGGUCACUUCCAGAUGAAGGUUCCGGUUCCGGUGCGGGCGGAGGUUGCGUUUCCGCGGCAGCGCGGUUGGCUGGCAGCUGGCUCUUGCGUUCCGGGUGGUGGCGGGGCUGGAGCAGGCUUGGAUCCGCCGUUCCCGGCUUAGUUUGUAAAGAGCUCUCGUCUGUGUGAUCGGGGCUUCGCUGACUUUCCAGCCGACCUAAGCCCCUGGGCUUGGGCCCAGGAAAGGUUGAAUGGGGAACUAAGAAAGGAAUUGGUUCGUUCGACAGACGUUUUCUGAGCAGCUGCUGCGUGCAAGGCACGGUGCCGGCGCGGGACCUGUGCCCAGAGCUUGAGAAGUGAGAAGCAGAGUCAUUGAUUCCAGGUAAAUCAGAGGAGCAAACAUCAUACAGAAAUAUAUAGGACAGUAAUACACAGGAAGCGAUGUGAUGUCGAAGCUGAACUGCUGUUUCGAAAGUCCAGCAUCUGGUGCAUCUACCAGUAGGGGCUAUAUUAUUUGCAAAGGCACCUAACUUUUACUCAUACUUACGUUCUGAUCCCACAUGCUGCGGAGCAACUAAGCCCGUGCACCACAACUACUGAGCCUGCGCUCUAGAGCCUGAGAGCCACAACUACUGAAGCCUGUGUGCCACAACUACUGAAGCCCGCACGCCUAGAGCCCGUGCUCUGCAACAAGAGAAGCCACCGCGAUGAGAAGCCCGUGCACAGCAACAAAGACCCAACUCAGCCAAAAAUAAAAAUAAAUAAAUAAAUUUAUUUUAAAAAAAGAAGAAUGAACCGGAAGUAAAGAAAAGAGAUUGUUAGUAACAUCUUUGUGACAGACUUGAGCACUUUGGGUUCCUCUCUUUACCUUCACAAGCACUUCUUAAAUCUUACUGUGGAAUCGUAGCAAAGCCAGCAAGUCCCACAGAAAAUUAAAUAUUCCUGAAUUAUCUCCAGGGUAUGUAUGUAUUGGCUACAGAUGUGAUUUUUAUGCUUUGUGAAACUAAAAUGACAACAAUUUCAAUGCAAAACUCCAAUGAAACAAAUAACCCUUAGCUUUUCACUUCUGAAAGUUUCAUUCUCUUUUGUCCCCAUGCUGCUUUUUCUCAGCGAGGCCUGAGUCCCUGGCUAAAUAUAGGCUUUAAGGUCAGACGUCUGCUGGACUUUGUUCUAUUGAGAACUUUAUUUUGAGGGAAAGAGCCCAAGUCAUAUCUCCUGUCAGGUAAUAUUAAGGAUUAAGUGGUAGUCAUAAAACAUGUUAAGACUUAAGUAAAGGUGAUAAAAGAAUGGUUGACUUUUCCUCAACUGUCUGUUUAGUGAAAGAUUUUAAUGUUUUGUGUUAUGUUUCUUUAUUUUUUUUGCAAGCACAUAGAUUCCAUAAUUCAAACUGUUAUUACAUUUCCAGCGACUUCUGAGAAGGUGCCCAGACCACAGAAUUUAGAAGGCAGGGAGCCAGUACUGUUGUGUGUCACACUUGUUAGGAGGAUUUAUCUGUUGGCAGGAGUCUGCGUCUUCCUCUGAUAAUCACUGAGCUUGCAGCCAGACGAACACUGAGAAAAUUUUGUUUUCCUUUGAGUGAUGGCUAAGUUGUAUUGCCAAGGCCAUAAAUAUUCUUUAUGUUGAGUCAGAAUUUCACUUCGUACUUCAGCCUUUGAGCCUUAAUAAUUUCAGGCUUCAAAAUUAAAUCUUGCGCUCAUGGGAAUCCACUGCUCUAGCCUACUCCAACAAAGUAGCUAGCGAAGGACCCCAGUUGCACGGAUUGGGGGAGUGGGUUGGAAACGGGCUGACAUUAACUGUUCAUUUUCCUUUGCAGGAAAAAAACUGGAGGAUUUUUAAAAAUAUUUUUUCCUACUCUUAUGGCCAGAAAAAUCCCACUUGCUAAUUCCAAACUUUACACUUUUUGAAAGUGUACUCUAUUGAGAUAGAAUUAAUUGAUACCAAAUUUCUGUGAGCCAGAGUUUUGGAGUUUUAAUAAAAGACUCUAUUAUAAACCAGUUACACUGUAAAAAUAAUAAUAAUAAAUAAAUAAUAAAAGAAGGGAGGAGCAUUUUGCAUAGGCUGCACUUGCAAAAUUGAGUCACCAAGAGAAUUUUGUAUCAGAAGCCUUGAGAAGGUGACAUAUUUGCAGGCUUUCUCCCCUCUCCAGACAUCCAGUGAUCUGCACUUAGUGUAACUCUCAGCACAUAUGUCAGUCCACUUGGUAAGCUAUUCCCAUUGGUUCAUCUCUCCAUACGGCUCAGCUGCAGCUCUGUGAUGGUUCAUGCAUCCUGCCGGCUGGUGGGGAGCAGGGCCAAUAAUACCCUCCUACUUGAAGGGAGUUUUGAAUCCCUUCUUGAAAAAUUACCCAUCAUCUGUCAGAAUCAUUCUGUCUUUUGAGAAACUUGGAGCAUUUCAUAAUGAGUCUCUGCCUUACCCCACAAGACAAGUGGGGGCACUAGUCUGUCUUACUUAGGAAGCAGGGGCAGCAAGAGCCAGUACGUGCUGUCGGGGUCAGUGCACAGUGUCUGGGAAUUAAUCAGCUACCGGUUUCUAGGAAGAGGCUCUCAGUUCCCAUCCAAGUCCUGUUCUUAUUUUAGGGAAUGGUUUACUCUCUCAGUUUUCUAAUAUUACAGCCACAACAGAUUAGAAGCAGUACAUUUAAAAGGCUAACACUAAAAGCAGGAAGAAGCAAUGACUAACAGGUUAACGGGAGAUUUUUUAAAUUGAGAAGCAGAUAUUUUGGGAUUUUCCUCUUUUUCUUUUUUUUUUUUUGAAAAGUCACAUUCUGGAAGCGUUUGGUGUAAGCAGGGGCAAACAUCCCUCACGUGUCACAGUUCCUUGAGCAUUAGAGCCCUGUGUAGAAAUUCUAAAUCAUCCAGAACAGGAAACGGUAUUUCAUGUGCUUUGGUUAAGAAGUCAAGGAAACAUAUAUAUUAGAUUGCCAACAAAAAUUAUACAGACUCAUGGCCUCAGGGGGUUGUGUUAAAUAAAUUUCAGAGGAAUACUUUCUUCCCUCAUUAUGCCAGAUAAACAGAGUUUUAGUCUACUUUUUUUAAAAAAAAUAUUUUUAUGUCUUUAUUUAUUUGGCUGUGCCGGGUCUUAGUUGCGGAACUCGGGAUCUUCGCUGAGGCAUGCAGGAUCUUUCGUUGCGGCACGUGGGAUCUAGUUCCCUGACCAGGGAUCGAACCCGGGCCCCCUGCAUUGGGCGCGCGGAGUCUUAGCCACUGGACCGCCAGGGAAGUCCCUAUCGUCCUUCCGUUACGUGUCUCAUUAAUCCAUGAUGAGCACUCAGAAAUACUUAAUACGUUUAAUUAGGUGGUGAGGUAUUGAAUAAUAUUGGCAUAAAGUUGGGUUUUUCUAAACUGUGUGAAUCAGUUUGGGCUUGAGAGCUCAGCUGACAUCAGGCCUGGAGACAGCUGCCCAUAAAGCAGUUCUGCAAACCCUGGAUACGCAGUUAGUCAUCAAAGAAUAUAACCACUGUGCGUCCUACCACUCAGCCCCAUUUUACUGCUUUUGGGGACGAAAACCCUUCAGGGCUUUUGUAGGUAUCACAUUUUAAGUUUAUGCUCUACCGCCCACUAGACGAUCAGCUUCUAGUCCUGUAGAACUCAGUUUUUCACCCCUGGUCCUUAGUACUACGCCUGGCACUUAGUAUGUGCUCAAUGCAUAAUUCCUGAAUGGAGAACACGUGACAUGGUAAGCAAUACAGGACAGUAUCUAAGAAACCCCAAACUGCGUGAAAUUCACAAUACUGACCGCAGAUGCCAUAGGAGGGAGAGAAACAUUUGGCCAUAGAGCUUGUGCUAAGCAGGACAUGGAGUGGAGUAAGACACUCCCACUCCCCGGGAUCUCACCAUCUUAUGAUGAGGACAGAUGCAAGAAUGUCACUAAGUACUGGAGAGGGCUGAGGGUGUGGGCCCCAACACAGCGAGUCAGGGCCUCAGGGAUCAGAGACAGUCGGUAGAGGGGCUGGUGUUUGAAUUGAGUGUUGACGAAGAGGUAAAGGACUGCUAUUUAAAAGGGAAGGACAAAAAAAAUUAAAGAAAGGGAAGGACAUUCCAGGGAGAGGAAACAGCCGGGGCAGGGGCACAAAGGCCCAGGCAUGCUCUGGGGGCACACCAGGCCUUAGGAUUUUGUCCUUGGGUUGAGAGAAGAUCACAGAGAGUGUAAGCAGCAGAGUGCUUGAGAGAUGAGCCUGGGAGGAAUGCUGAUGGAUUGCAGCGGCCCAGACUGACCGAGGGAGGCCAGUCCGGACACGCCUGUAAGACGGAACAAUUCCCAGGCGCUGGCUUGUUUGCUAUGGGUGAAGGGCACCAGUGCAAGCCACGUUCCGUACUUUGAUGGUAGGAUUGACAGAGUCUGGUGACUGGCUGGGUGUGGGGACGAGGCUGGGCAGAAGAGGGCAGGACUCAGGCUUACUCCCAGGUUCUGGCUUAGCCGCUAGAGCUCCUCCUUGCUGAGGAAUAUGGGAAAUACAGGGGGAGGAGGAGGGAGGGUUGAAGGGGUGAGUCAUGUGUUACUUCUGAACAUUCUGAGUUUCCAGGAAUCUGAGGGGCAUCUAUCUAAAUCAUUAGGUUAUAUCUGAAAUAUUGGGGGAGAUGAUUCAGACGAUUGCCCUGGCAGGUCUGGACCUGAUGGUAAAAGAGAUUCGGGCAGGGAGAGCAAGAAAAAGGAAAAACCAGGGAUGAAAGCUGGGGGAUGUGUGCAGUUAGGGAAGGACAGGCCUGAAGACUAGAAAGGAGGCAGGAGGAGAAAUGAGCAAGUGCUUCCAGGAGAGAAGCCCCAUCAGGGCUGUCGGAAGCUGCGAGAGAGGCCAGGUAAGGAGCCAGGUGUCCCCUGGGUUUGGCAGUGGAGGUAAGCGAAGCAUGGCCGUGGGCUGGGCAGUGAGGGCGUUCCCCGACCUUGGGCAGCUCCCUGAGCCUCUCAGAGUCUCUGGAACGUGAAGGAGCUGGGCCAGUGAGUUUAUAGUGUCUUCAGGCUGCUAUUUGUGGGCGUGCACCUGUGUUUCAGGCCAUCUUAGAGUGUAAACUGAGCAGACAGGGUCCAGUCCUUUGCCCAGAUUUGCCAGUGACACAGACACUUCAGCUUGGAUGAUGAAACAGCCUUGAUUGCUGAAGCAGGUGAAUUAAUCCCACUGGCGCAGCACCAGCAAGGACCUUUUUUUUUUUUUUUUGGCGGUACGCGGGCCUCUCAGUGUUGUGGCCUCUCCCGUUGCGGAGCACAGGCUCCGGACGCGCAGGCUCAGCGGCCAUGGUUCACGGGCCCAGCCGCUCCGCGGCAUGUGGGAUCCUCCCGGACGGGGGCACGAACCCGUGUCCCCUGCAUCGUCAGGCGGACUACCAACCACUGCGCCACCAGGGAAGCCCGUCAGCAAGGACCUUUUAAAUACCCAAGGACACAGGAUGUGCGU